GACGAACGCUGGCGGCGUGCCUAAUACAUGCAAGUCGAACGAGAGCAACCGGUGCUUGCACUGGUCAAUCUAGUGGCGAACGGGUGAGUAACACGUGGGUAACCUGCCCAUCAGAGGGGGAUAACAUCCGGAAACGGAUGCUAAAACCGCAUAGGUCUUCGAACCGCAUGGUUUGAAGAGGAAAAGAGGCGCAAGCUUCUGCUGAUGGAUGGACCCGCGGUGCAUUAGCUAGUUGGUGAGGUAACGGCUCACCAAGGCCGUGAUGCAUAGCCGACCUGAGAGGGUGAUCGGCCACAUUGGGACUGAGACACGGCCCAAACUCCUACGGGAGGCAGCAGUAGGGAAUCUUCCGCAAUGGACGCAAGUCUGACGGAGCAACGCCGCGUGAGUGAAGAAGGUUUUCGGAUCGUAAAACUCUGUUGUUAGAGAAGAACAAGUGCUAGAGUAACUGUUAGCGCCUUGACGGUAUCUAACCAGAAAGCCACGGUUAACUACGUG
RNAcentral lists this ribosomal RNA (498 nucleotides) under uncultured bacterium. Its description in RNAcentral is "partial 16S ribosomal RNA". It matches the Rfam family "Bacterial small subunit ribosomal RNA", at positions 28 to 507 of the family's 1533-position model. The record is from RNAcentral.